This 828-nucleotide ribosomal RNA is filed under the name uncultured bacterium. RNAcentral's name for it is "bacterial SSU rRNA". It matches the Rfam family "Bacterial small subunit ribosomal RNA", at positions 625 to 1452 of the family's 1533-position model. The record is from RNAcentral.
UCUGGAAACUGUNUGACUUGAGUGCAGAAGGGGAGAGUGGAAUUCCAUGUGUAGCGGUGAAAUGCGUAGAUAUAUGGAGGAACACCAGUGGCGAAAGCGGCUCUCUGGUCUGUCACUGACGCUGAGGCUCGAAAGCGUGGGUAGCGAACAGGAUUAGAUACCCUGGUAGUCCACGCCGUAAACGAUGAGUGCUAGGUGUUAGGCCCUUUCCGGGGCUUAGUGCCGGAGCUAACGCAAUAAGCACUCCGCCUGGGGAGUACGACCGCAAGGUUGAAACUCAAAGGAAUUGACGGGGGCCCGCACAAGCGGUGGAGCAUGUGGUUUAAUUCGAAGCAACGCGAAGAACCUUACCAGGUCUUGACAUCCCGAUGCUAUUCUUAGAGAUAGGAAGUUACUUCGGUACAUCGGAGACAGGUGGUGCAUGGUUGUCGUCAGCUCGUGUCGUGAGAUGUUGGGUUAAGUCCCGCAACGAGCGCAACCCUUAUUGUUAGUUGCCAUCAUUAAGUUGGGCACUCUAGCGAGACUGCCGGUAAUAAACCGGAGGAAGGUGGGGAUGACGUCAAAUCAUCAUGCCCCUUAUGACCUGGGCUACACACGUGCUACAAUGGUCGGUACAACGAGUUGCGAGCCGGUGACGGCAAGCUAAUCUCUGAAAGCCGAUCUCAGUUCGGAUUGUAGGCUGCAACUCGCCUCCAUGAAGUCGGAAUCGCUAGUAAUCGCGGAUCAGCACGCCGCGGUGAAUACGUUCCCGGGCCUUGUACACACCGCCCGUCACACCACGAGAGUUUGUAACACCCGAAGUCGGUGAGGUAACCUUUUAGGGGCCAG